RNAcentral lists this ribosomal RNA (252 nucleotides) under uncultured bacterium. RNAcentral describes it as "partial 16S ribosomal RNA". It matches the Rfam family "Bacterial small subunit ribosomal RNA", at positions 524 to 776 of the family's 1533-position model. The record is from RNAcentral.
CACGGAGGAUGCGAGCGUUAUCCGGAUUUAUUGGGUUUAAAGGGUGCGUAGGCGGACGCUUAAGUCAGCGGUAAAAUUGCGGGGCUCAACCUCGUCGAGCCGUUGAAACUGGGUGCCUUGAGUGGGCGAGAAGAAGGCGGAAUGCGUGGUGUAGCGGUGAAAUGCAUAGAUAUCACGCAGAACCCCGAUUGCGAAGGCAGCCUUCCGGCGCCCUACUGACGCUGAGGCACGAAAGUGCGGGGAUCGAACAGG